RNAcentral lists this unclassified non-coding RNA (343 nucleotides) under soil metagenome. RNAcentral describes it as "partial contains 5.8S ribosomal RNA, internal transcribed spacer 2, and large subunit ribosomal RNA". The stretch from base 1 to 120 matches the Rfam family "5.8S ribosomal RNA", at positions 35 to 154 of the family's 154-position model. The record is from RNAcentral.
GAUGAAGAACGCAGCGAAACGCGAUAUGUAAUGUGAAUUGCAGAAUUCAGUGAAUCAUCGAAUCUUUGAACGCACAUGGCGCCUUCCAGUAUUCUGGCGGGCAUGCCUGUCCGAGCGUCAUUUCAACCCUCAAGCCCCCGGGCUUGGUGUUGGGGAUCGGCGAGCCUCCGCGCCCGCCGUCCCCUAAAUCUAGUGGCGGUCUCGCUGUAGCUUCCUCUGCGUAGUAGCACACCUCGCACUGGGAAACAGCGCGGCCACGCCGUUAAACCCCCAACUUCUGAACGUUUGACCUCGGAUCAGGUAGGAAUACCCGCUGAACUUAAGCAUAUCAAUAAGCGGAGGA